Homarus americanus (American lobster) is the source of this 101-nucleotide small nucleolar RNA. NCBI's taxonomy places the organism in Eukaryota, Metazoa, Arthropoda, Malacostraca, Decapoda, Nephropidae. The record is from RefSeq and is a predicted model, not a curated record.
UUCAUAUGAUGACAUGCCAUGCUAAUACUGAGGGAUUCAGUUGCUGUUAACUGAAAACCACUGAGUUAAAAUAUUACAUUUCUGAUAAUUAUAAGUUAGAU